RNAcentral lists this ribosomal RNA (279 nucleotides) under Pichia kudriavzevii. Its description in RNAcentral is "partial 26S ribosomal RNA". It matches the Rfam family "Eukaryotic large subunit ribosomal RNA", at positions 350 to 647 of the family's 3401-position model. Lineage: Eukaryota; Fungi; Ascomycota; Pichiomycetes; Pichiales; Pichiaceae. The record is from RNAcentral.
ACUGUGAAGGAAAGAUGAAAAGCACUUUGAAAAGAGAGUGAAACAGCACGUGAAAUUGUUGAAAGGGAAGGGUAUUGCGCCCGACAUGGGGAUUGCGCACCGCUGCCUCUCGUGGGCGGCGCUCUGGGCUUUCCCUGGGCCAGCAUCGGUUCUUGCUGCAGGAGAAGGGGUUCUGGAACGUGGCUYUCGGAGUGUUAUAGCCAGGGCCAGAUGCUGCGUGCGGGGACCGAGGACUGCGGCCGUGUAGGUCACGGAUGCUGGCAGAACGGCGCAACACCG